RNAcentral lists this ribosomal RNA (440 nucleotides) under uncultured bacterium. RNAcentral describes it as "partial 16S ribosomal RNA". It matches the Rfam family "Bacterial small subunit ribosomal RNA", at positions 338 to 795 of the family's 1533-position model. The record is from RNAcentral.
CCUACGGGAGACAGCAGUGGGGAAUAUUGAACAAUGGGGGAAACUCUGAUGCAGCGACGCCGCGUGAGUGAAGAAGUAUGUCGGUAUGUAAAGCUUUAUCAGUAGGGAAGUAAAUGACGGCACCUGAUUAAGAAGAUCCGUCUAACUACGUGCCAGCAGCCGCGGCAAUACGUCGGAGGCAAGCAUGAUCCGGAUUUACCGGGAGAAAAGGGGGCGUAGAUGGCAGCACACGUCUGGAGUGAAAUGCCGGGGCUUAACCGCGAAACUGCAGUGGAAACUGUGCAGCUAGAGGGAAGGAGAGGUGAGUGGAAGUCCUAGUGUAGCGGUGAAAUGCGUAGAUAUUAGGAGGAACACCAAUGGCGAAGGCGGCUUACUGGACUAUAACUGACGUUGAGGCUCGAAAGCGUGGGGAGCAAACAGGAUUAGAUACCCGGGUAGUC